RNAcentral lists this ribosomal RNA (238 nucleotides) under uncultured bacterium. RNAcentral's name for it is "partial 16S ribosomal RNA". It matches the Rfam family "Bacterial small subunit ribosomal RNA", at positions 118 to 354 of the family's 1533-position model. The record is from RNAcentral.
UGAGCAAUCUGCCCUUCUCUUCGGAAUAAGCGUGGGAAACCGCGUCUAAUGCCGAAUACGACCUCCUUUCGCAUGAUCGGAGGUGGAAAGCUCCGGCGGAGAAGGAUGAGCUCGCGGCCUAUCAGCUAGUUGGUGUGGGUAACGGCCCACCAAGGCGACGACGGGUAGCCGGCCUGAGAGGGCGACCGGCCACACUGGGACUGAGACACGGCCCAGACUCCGUACGGGAGGCAGCAGG